Non-coding RNA from Podarcis lilfordi (Lilford's wall lizard), 83 nucleotides. The record is from the annotation of a GenBank genome assembly. Lineage: Eukaryota; Metazoa; Chordata; Lepidosauria; Squamata; Lacertidae.
GUGCUUUUAUUUUUCCUGGCCCAAUGGGUCAGUGCUUCUGGCUGUUAACCAGAAGGUUGGUGGUUAGUGCCUACCCAAGUACA